GAGUCCAGGGUUUUUGUCACACACACACACAGCACAGAUUUUUUUGAUUAUGUAGAUUUCUUUUCCUACUGCAGUUUCAUAUGCAAAGCAUGCAUCAGCCACAUCCAUGCUAUCUCCUAAAGCAGUCAUUCUGAAACCCAAUCUGGGGACAGUGCAGACUAAAUAAAAUUUCAUUUUGAUUUGGCCUCCCGCUGCGAAUGGGACUGCUUUGUCUCAGCCGACAGAACCAGCAAGCCAGAAAGGGAAUGAAGACAUUUGGAGAAGAAGCGUUUACUGAAAGGAGAUUCCUGGGCUGGAGGAAAACCAUGAUCUACAGUUCAUGUUGACAGAUAUUGUAUUUUUGGUCCUAGAUCUGACUUUUGAAAUGACUUAUCACAAAUUCAAAUUUAGCAAUCAUGAGUGAAGUACCCACGAUGUGCUAAGCAUCUACCUCUGCAGAUAGAAGAACACUUACUGUUCCUGAGCAUGGGAGGGAAUAGAAGUUCCUGGGUCCUGGCCUCACCUCAUCAGGCACUGCCAAAUUUGACACCUCCUUCCUGUUCACGGCAGUCCUUUGCGAUAGGGUAUUAGAUGCCACCAAGUAGCUGCAUAACUCACCCAUUUGGUCAGAGCCUGGGUCUAAGCCAGGUCUGACAGACUCCAAAGCAAGCCCUGUUUACAGCAUGACUGGGAUCCAGUGGACGAGGGAACUGAGCUGUCAAAACUAAGUGACUUGAUUGAGGCCAUGCAGCUGGCGAGGGGAGGACCAGGAUCUGAACCCAACUGGGUCUCCCAAGCCUGGGCCACUGAACCAUUUCACCUCUUGGAAAAACUUAAUGGUCAGAGUGGCCCACCCAGUCCAUGGACAGCAUGGAGGUAAUGAACUUUAAUCAGAAACUUAUUGUGCAUUGACUGAGCAUUUAUUCUUUUAAGACAAUAUGUUUGGAUGUCUUUGGUUGUACAGAAUUCAAAUUAUUAAUAAUGUUCACAAAAGUUGCCCUGUAUUUUUAUGCUGAAAUACAACAAAAUGUCAACUUGG
This 1018-nucleotide long non-coding RNA is filed under the name Homo sapiens (human). RNAcentral's name for it is "long intergenic non-protein coding RNA 1102". The record is from RNAcentral. Lineage: Eukaryota; Metazoa; Chordata; Mammalia; Primates; Hominidae.